Molecule: non-coding RNA, 1297 nt
Organism: Delphinapterus leucas (beluga whale)
Lineage: Eukaryota; Metazoa; Chordata; Mammalia; Artiodactyla; Monodontidae
Source: RefSeq, a predicted model, not a curated record
GCUCUUGUACUUAAGCAGAGCUGGUGCGCACGCUGAGCUCGUGAGGACGCCAAGCUCUUGCGUGCGUGCCCCACGCUCUUCCAGGAGUACGUUCCCCAUCGCUCUCACCUGCCCAAGUCUCGGGGCCGCUGGCAUGACGCCGGGGAGAGCUCAGCGCGAGGAGGAGAUGGACUCAGUGGUCUCUGAGGAUGUGGCUGCGGACUUCACCUGGGCAGAGUGGGCUUUGCUAAGUCCUGUUCAGAGGAACUCUACAGAGAUGUGAUGCUUCGAACCUUCAGGAACUUGGCCUCAGCAGAAACAUGUCUCCCUGGUAAAUGCCACGUGAGGAAUGUGGCAGAACUCUAUCGUCACUCAUCUUUUCAGACAUGGGAGUGGUCACAAGCGAGCGGAAAACCUAUGAAAAGGAAAGAACAUGGCAAGGUUCUUAUUUAUUGCUGUGCCCUUAGAAGACCUGUGACUACUCAUAAUGGAAUAGAGUCUUGGGAAUAUAAGGAAUGUGGCAAAGGCUCUCGUCGUCAUUACACGACAUAAAAGUACUCACCUUGUAAGUGUGAGACGUGGGAGAACCUUUAUUCCUUCCUCACACCCAGCAACACAAUUACGGUUGAAUAGUAUCUGCUUACUGACUGCAAUGAGUCCAUGAGGAACUGUGUGUUCACUCAGGAGGACGGCAUGAGAGACCUGAUCAGGGGAUCUCGCCCCGUGUUCGCCAGGUUUGUGGAAGGAGCAAGGAAGCAGGAUUUGUGGAUUGGAUGUACUCAUGGGGUAGUGUAUGGAAAGAAUUUUAGUAAUUCUUACGUACAGAGCUGGAAAAAUGGAAAAAUGGAGUGGAGCUAACUUGUAAUUGGGGAAAGUGGAAAAAGAUCCUCCAAAUAUUGAUACAGUAGGUUUGAGAGCUGGUCUUAUUUUUGGUUUGGACAAUACUUUUUGUGUUUUUAGACAUGACUGUGCAGUGGCCUUAUGGGUGUUCUCCUUAUGGGUGUUCUCCAUCCCCAUCAGAGCGAUGGUGUGGUUUUAUGCCCCACGGAUUGUUUAACAGAACCCGCCGACCAUUCUGUGAGCGCCGGCAGUAUGUGCCAGGUCAACUGUUGGGCUGUCAGGCAGCCCCUUCUUUUGUCCACAAGCAGAUGAAGCCCAGCUUCAAGACCCUACCGUGUGGUACCCAGAGCUUUAUUACAGAUUUUGUAAUCUGGAUGUGUUCCAGAGAAUGUCUGUACUUGGAAUAGGAUUAGUCUCGCCUGCCUUUUUUUUUUUUUUUGAUGCAAAAUGAUCAGAUGAAUCCUCUGAUGCGACAAUG